This 255-nucleotide ribosomal RNA is filed under the name uncultured bacterium. RNAcentral describes it as "partial 16S ribosomal RNA". It matches the Rfam family "Bacterial small subunit ribosomal RNA", at positions 15 to 266 of the family's 1533-position model. The record is from RNAcentral.
GAUCCUGGCUCAAGAUGAACGCUAGCUACAGGCUUAACACAUGCAAGUCGAGGGGCAUCAGGGCGUAGCAAUACGCCGCUGGCGACCGGCGCACGGGUGAGUAACACGUAUCCAACCUGCCCUUUACUCGGGGAUAGCCUUUCGAAAGAAAGAUUAAUACCCGAUGGCAUAACAUGACCUCCUGGUUUUGUUAUUAAAGAAUUUCGGUAGAGGAUGGGGAUGCGUUCCAUUAGGCAGUUGGCGGGGUAACGGCCC